RNAcentral lists this transfer RNA (64 nucleotides) under Cavia porcellus (domestic guinea pig). It matches the Rfam family "tRNA". Rfam says of the family: Transfer RNA (tRNA) molecules are approximately 80 nucleotides in length. Their secondary structure includes four short double-helical elements and three loops (D, anti-codon, and T loops). Lineage: Eukaryota; Metazoa; Chordata; Mammalia; Rodentia; Caviidae. The record is from Rfam by way of RNAcentral.
GGGGAUUUAGCUCAGUGGCAUAAGCACCUGCCUUGCAAGCAGGCGGUCUCAAGUUCCAUCCCCA